AUGGAAGCCUGCUACCCGAGGGAUCUCUUUCCCUGCCUGGAGCCGGCUGUGGCCCAUCUACAAGAUAGUACCACCUCGCUUCCCUGGAUCAAUCGGCGCCUCACCUCGACUAUAUAUACGCCGCAUCACUCGUUCCCCUUCCACACCAGUCGACCGAAUCCGUGGGGCUCACCAGAAGACGCGGGCUCAGCAGACCGCCAUCCCCAGCCGACCCUCUCCCGAGUCGACGCCCAAGGUGCGAUGGCCUCCAAGCCUGAGAUCCCCUGGACAGUUGUGGCUGAGUGGAAGUAUGCCAGGGUUCGCAAGCAGCUGGCCAAUGGCUCUGCCAGCGACGAGUCUGAUGAUCUAGAGAAAGAGCAUGGACUGACAGGAAUUAAGGGAAGUGUUUCGUAUCGCCAGCCGUAUGUUCUAUAUGUUGAUGACGAGGUGACAACGAUUGAAGUCCCCUGGCUCUCGAAAGGUACUCGUCGUCAGCGGAAGAAGCUGGCGGCAGCUAGGAAGUGCCUUGUCGAGACCAAACAUGGCGUCGGUUAUUAUGUCUUUGGCUCUUACGUCUGA
RNAcentral lists this ribosomal RNA (558 nucleotides) under Triticum aestivum (bread wheat). RNAcentral describes it as "partial small subunit ribosomal RNA". The record is from RNAcentral. Lineage: Eukaryota; Viridiplantae; Streptophyta; Magnoliopsida; Poales; Poaceae.